This 502-nucleotide unclassified non-coding RNA is filed under the name Atta cephalotes. RNAcentral describes it as "parafibromin, transcript variant X1". Lineage: Eukaryota; Metazoa; Arthropoda; Insecta; Hymenoptera; Formicidae. The record is from RNAcentral.
GGGACCGGCUUGGCAAUUCAAAGGUUGGCCAUUUGAUGGCAACCCAGUGGAAAUCUUUUCAAAAAUAUGCGCGUUUCACUUGAAAUAUGAUGAAAUGAGGCUGGACACAAAUGUAGCGCGAUGGGCUGUCACAGUGAUUGAAUUGAGUCGGACAAAGAGACAUUUGGAUAGAGCAGCGUUAAUGAUAUUUUGGGAACAUCUCGAUAAGCAUAUGAUCAAGAACAAGCCGCAUCUUCGUUUUUGAAAUGAUAAAGCGAUUCAGAUUGCAGAAAUGGCAAUAUAUUGAUCCCUGCGUCCCAUGUUCCCAUCGAUUGGAAUUUUUACUAGAAGAUAUAGGACCGUGAGGUUCUUUGCCGAUGGUGUUGCGACGCGCGAUUAUUCGCGGAUAAAGGUAUCUGCGAUAAGCAAUGUGAUGUGUGAUAACUGAAUCGUUGUCAUAUUACGUUAAAUGUGUUUACAUUUUAUUGUUGCUUGCACGAAUAAAAUACGAAAAAAAUUGCAA